AUGAACGCUGGCGGCGUGCCUAAUACAUGCAAGUCGAGCGAACAGACGAGGAGCUUACUCCUCUGACGUUAGCGGCGGACGGGUGAGUAACACGUGGAUAACCUACCUAUAAGACUGGGAUAACUUCGGGAAACCGGAGCUAAUACCGGAUAACAUGUUGAACCGCAUGGUUCAACAGUGAAAGACGGUCUUGCUGUCACUUAUAGAUGGAUCCGCGUCGCAUUAGCUAGUUGGUAAGGUAACGGCUUACCAAGGCAACGAUGCGUAGCCGACCUGAGAGGGUGAUCGGCCACACUGGAACUGAGACACGGUCCAGACUCCUACGGGAGGCAGCAGUAGGGAAUCUUCCGCAAUGGGCGAAAGCCUGACGGAGCAACGCCGCGUGAGUGAAGAAGGUCUUCGGAUCGUAAAACUCUGUUAUUAGGGAAGAACAAAUGUGUAAGUAACUAUGCACGUCUUGACGGUACCUAAUCAGAAAGCCACGGCUAACUACGU
RNAcentral lists this ribosomal RNA (495 nucleotides) under uncultured bacterium. Its description in RNAcentral is "partial 16S ribosomal RNA". It matches the Rfam family "Bacterial small subunit ribosomal RNA", at positions 29 to 506 of the family's 1533-position model. The record is from RNAcentral.